UACGUAGGGGGCAAGCGUUGUCCGGAAUCAUUGGGCGUAAAGAGCGUGUAGGCGGCUUGGUAAGUCCGCUGUGAAAGUCCAGGGCUCAACCCUGGAAUGCCGGUGGAAACUGUCAAGCUUGAGUCCGGAAGAGGCGAGUGGAAUUCCUGGUGUAGCGGUGAAAUGCGCAGAUAUCAGGAGGAACACCAAUGGCGAAGGCGAUCACCUGGGGUUGUUCUGACGCUGAGGAGCGAAAGCUAGGGGAGCAAACGGG
Molecule: ribosomal RNA, 253 nt
Filed under: uncultured bacterium
Lineage: Bacteria
Description: partial 16S ribosomal RNA
Rfam family: Bacterial small subunit ribosomal RNA
Source: RNAcentral